RNAcentral lists this ribosomal RNA (250 nucleotides) under uncultured bacterium. RNAcentral's name for it is "partial 16S ribosomal RNA". It matches the Rfam family "Bacterial small subunit ribosomal RNA", at positions 524 to 772 of the family's 1533-position model. The record is from RNAcentral.
UACGGAGGGUGCAAGCGUUGUUCGGAAUUACUGGGCGUAAAGGGCGCGUAGGUGGUUGUGUAAGUCAGAUGUGAAAUCCUCAUGGCUCAACCUGAGAACUGCAUCUGAUACUGCAUGACUCGAGUGCAGCAGAGGGAAACGGAAUUCCUGGUGUAGAGGUGAAAUUCGUAGAUAUCAGGAGGAACACCGGUGGCGAAGGCGGUUUCCUGGGCUGACACUGACACUGAGGCGCGAAAGCGUGGGUAGCAAA